CCAACUCAGGAGAAAGAAAAUUAAUAAAUUGGAAAAAAGGAACUCGGCAAAACACAGUUUCGCCUGUUUACCAAAAACAUCGCUCCCCGAUAAAUAACAACAUGAGGAGUCCUGCCUGCCCAGUGACUAAAGGUUAAACGGCCGCGGUAUCUUGACCGUGC
Molecule: ribosomal RNA, 161 nt
Filed under: Paracentrotus lividus (common urchin)
Lineage: Eukaryota; Metazoa; Echinodermata; Echinoidea; Camarodonta; Echinidae
Description: partial 16S ribosomal RNA
Source: RNAcentral